CGUGUAGGCGGCCGAUCAAGUCGGAUGUGAAAUCUCUCGGCUCAACCGAGAAACUGCAUCCGAUACUGGUCAGCUAGAGUGCGAGAGGGGUGAGUGGAACUCCAGGUGUAGCGGUGAAAUGCGUAGAUAUCUGGAGGAACGCCGGUGGCGAAAGCGACUCACUGGCUCGCAACUGACGCUGAGGCGCGAAAGCUAGGGGAGCGAACG
RNAcentral lists this ribosomal RNA (207 nucleotides) under uncultured bacterium. RNAcentral describes it as "partial 16S ribosomal RNA". It matches the Rfam family "Bacterial small subunit ribosomal RNA", at positions 568 to 774 of the family's 1533-position model. The record is from RNAcentral.